GACACUUUCAAAGUGUUGAAUUUAACUCUGUAGGAGUUGAUGGAACACUUCCAAAUUUGCUGUGUAUUUCUUCAAGACCAAAUAGAGCUCAACAAAGUUAUUUAAAAAAAAAAAGUUUUAACAGAAUAAGAGCAAGAUUUUAAGCUGAAUCUCAAGUUCUUCUGGAGAUACUGGCCAGCUGCCUACAUUUUUUUAAAAAAAUCUGUCUGGAUACACUCUACUUCCUUAAUGAUGCUGCAUAAUGGGCCAUGUUCACACAUAAACAUUCACUUACAGAUAACAGCACGUAAACAUGUCAAUACGCAGAGCAGGUUAAAACAGCCUUUGUGACCUAUAAACUACAGACUUUCUAUUGUUGCCAUGGCAGCGCCACAUUUUCAGUGAGUGGGUAUCCAGAUUAUUAUGGUCUGUGUUUCCAGCCAUGUGCUGAUGACAGAUGGAACAAGUUGCUAUGGUAACACUAAGUAUAGAUGCAGAAGAGGACAAGCUGCUAAAGUCAUUUUCCUCUUAGUGAGGUCACAACUCUGAAGAGAAAAAUCAAACUACUCACAUGUAACAUUAUUAUUCUGAACUGAAUUCUACCCAUUCACUUCUAAAGUAAAUGAACUGACAUCCUGAAUGAUGUUCUUUACCUGCAUGGAGGUGUUUUUCAUCUUAAAUUAGAAACACGGAUGCACGAAAGUGUCCCAAACAUUGCGAGAAAUCAAAAUCAGAGGCGCAACACAGAAUAUAUGAUUAAGCAACUUUUCUUUAAGCCUGAGCCAUUGUUUUGCAUUAUUUAAAAUGAACUGGCAAAGGAAUACAGCCUUUAACUCUAAUCUUACAUGGCUUCAAAACUAUUUUCUUAGAAUGUCAUUUCUAGCAGCCAUUUGAACAACAAUGAUCUGCUGAUCUGAUUUGAUGAAGAAAUUGUCUUUACUUAAAGUUGGAAUUUGGGGUAUAGCAAAAUUCACAAAUACAUAUUCUCUCAUUCUAAUCAUCUCUCUUCCUCAUGACUUGGUAGAGACCUUCUCUAUUGCUGAAAUUAACUGUUUAUUUUUCAGAUUUGUUUUGGGAAUUUAACCAACACCUGGUUAUUUAUUUAAUGACUCCAAAUAAAAUAAAAUAAAAACUAUUUUAAUUACAUAUACUUAAGUUUCAGAGGGGCUCCUUGUUUUCCAUGAAGGAGGUAUUCUUAUCACUUCACUACAAUAAUUCCAAACCAGACAUAAAAAAAAACAUUUUUAAAAAUCCCUUCUAAGAAAUGCACCAAAUGUAUAUUUGUGAGUGAACAUUAAAAGUAAAUAUUAAAAGGUUUCAGUUUCACACAAAUACAAAGGCGGUAGGUAGCAUAAAUGUCCGGCUGUUGAAGUGAAUUUUUCAGUGUCACUAUCAAGCUAAUUUUCUAUUAGCAGCUUCACAAAUCUUUACGAUAAACAUUAAAUUACCAUUGAACAUGCGAAUAUACAUGUAUCUUUGCUUUUUUCUUUUCUCUUUAUUUUAUCUGUCCCUGAAGGAUAAAUCUUUUUUGGGACAUUGUUUUGCUAAUUUAUCUUCCAUCGGAGCUUUGGAGGUUUAGAUGAGCACAGCUCAUUGCAUGGCAGCUCAUAUUACCGAUGAAGCGUGACCUACUGCGGCCACCAGGGGUCCACCAAGGGUGUUACAUAAGAGCGUGUCGGAAAUUCGGGACCAGCUCAUAACACGAGUACACAAGCCAAGAAAACCAUGCUUUUGAUUAUGCCGUAAGAAAAGGCACAGAAGUCAUUACCACGGUUUGUCCUCACCAACUUCAUGUGCUUACUGGGUUUCUGUAUCUACCUACCAGCAGCUUCCAGCAAAGCAGCCAAAACGAGAUCAUUUCCAGACGGUCACGGCGCGCGCAUUCAUUUCUCCCUCUUCCCAACGGCAACGCGAGUAGCCAGACGGACCCUUGCUGGCGCGAGGUGGAGUGGAACGCAUAUGAAACUCACGGCCACGGCGCGUGUUUAUGCGAGAUGAAGCUAGGUAGAGAGAGAACAGAGAGAGAGAGGACGUAUCGACGUAUAUGCUAUUCCACUGCAGGUGAAUUAGAGCAGAAAAGAUAAAGCUCUAUUGACAGGCUAUUGUGUCUCUCUCUGUCCUCGUUUUCUCUCUCACCGACGCAAUACAUCCCGCAUUACCACCCUCCAAUUGACCUUUUUCGACAAGUAGGAUGUAGAAAUAAAACAUUUUAGCCCUCCCUCAACUAUGAUUUAUGUUACAUGGAAGGCUGUAGGAACCUCUAAAGUCAAGAAAAACAGAAAUAUAACCUUGGCUUAAAAAAAUUGGUAUAUCAAAGCAAUAGACCAACAAAUACAAAAUUAAAAUUACAUUUGUUGGCAUAAAGAACUUAUGUGAUCAAAGCUUUAUCAAUUAUAUUUGCUACAGAUUUUUGUUGUAUUUUUGCAACUUCCUUUUGUCUGCUUCACUUUUUCCCUAUACUUGAGUUGCUCCCUUACUUACUCUUCUAUACAUUUUUUUUGUAAAUAAAUAAAUUUUUCCAAAAGUUACUUAUUUACAGGUAACUUUCUCCAUUUUCCUCAGU
Long non-coding RNA from Poecilia latipinna (sailfin molly), 2542 nucleotides. RefSeq lists it as uncharacterized. Lineage: Eukaryota; Metazoa; Chordata; Actinopteri; Cyprinodontiformes; Poeciliidae. The transcript has 3 exons. The record is from RefSeq and is a predicted model, not a curated record.